RNAcentral lists this ribosomal RNA (120 nucleotides) under Streptococcus uberis 0140J. The record is from RNAcentral. Lineage: Bacteria; Bacillati; Bacillota; Bacilli; Lactobacillales; Streptococcaceae.
AGUUAAGUGACGAUAGCCUAGGAGAUACACCUGUACCCAUGCCGAACACAGUAGUUAAGCCCUAGAACGCCUGAAGUAGUUGGGGGUUGCCCCCUGUUAGAUACGGAAGUUGCUUAGCUU